UGGGGACCCACCACAGGAGAGCCUUCUAAGAGGCCUGGCUGAUUUAAUCUGGCUAACGAAGAAAAACAACUUCCGGAGCUGCCUGUUUGAUAACCCCUCAGAGCGCAGCUCCAUGAUGUCUC
Unclassified non-coding RNA from Fukomys damarensis (Damara mole-rat), 122 nucleotides. The record is from Ensembl. Lineage: Eukaryota; Metazoa; Chordata; Mammalia; Rodentia; Bathyergidae.